GCAAGUAUGCUACUAAAGAAUGAAAAAGGUGUUACCACAGGAUCAAGUUUAUUUAUUUUCAUCAGAGAUGCAGAUCGAACAGAGUACACUCCCUCCAAACUAAGCUUCCAAGAUCAAGAAUCCACACCGUCAGACAACGGGCACUCGCCCAUCACAUUCAAUAAAUCAACCACUUAAGUGUUCUCCCAAACAAACAAUCUACGCCUCCAUAUCAUGUCCCACACCCACCCAUCAUCGACCCAAGAGCAUAUACCACCUACUGACGAGGAUUGUGGAAUCGAAACCUGAAACAACCUCAAAAACCUCACCCUCAGUGGUACACCACCUACUAACAGUCACAAUUUUAUCCUCUCAUCUCUCACAAUAAAACAUGCUCUCACUUGAUCUGCCAUAUAUAUAUAUAUACUCAUUUACCCAGUAUUUUUCCUAUGUUUCUUUCUUUUUCUUGUUAUGUUUUAUGAAUGAGAAGUGAGAAGAAAACAGAACCAAUCAGCUUUUAAUCAUUAAGGUGUUCAAUGAUUUAACCAUGUAAUGAAGCUACACAAAUUGCAUACAGGGAUCUCAUGCACAAAAGGUAAAUUUGCAACAAGAAGACCAACCACUCAAUGAUGAAUGACAACAAGCAUUAAAAAGCAACAAUCAAACAACCAGAUAGCUAGAGGGAAUCUCAAGUUAUCAAGCUAUGAAGAAACUGAGAGUUAGAAGACUUGUCAAAAUAUAGGAAUGACAAACGUUUUAGUCUCAACUAAUACUCAACAAGGUAAAAUGUUUUGAGAAUUAGUAGUAGUGAAAAAUAGAAUAGAUGAUCAUUUUUUAUAACAAAGUGAGAUGUUAUGAGAAUUAGUGCUAGUGAAUAAUAGAUGAAAUCCAAAAACUAAAACUAGAUAAUAGAGUUCAACUUGAUGUCAAAAAAGAACAGACAAAGACAUAUGAAAGAGCUGAAUGCUCUGCAUCUUCAUCUCCUAGACUCCUAUAGCAACUGCUCCUCCCCUAAUCAUCAUGUUCAUCAGUAAUACUAAGUACAUUUGUACAUCUAUGAGAUCACCCUUUGUUGUAGUCAUGAUCUCUGCAUAAGAAAAUUUAAACACUCAUGAACAUGAGAAUUGAUGCCAUAAACACACAGUUACUAUAAUACGAUACAAGAUGAGUACAUGUUUAAAGAUUAUAAUUAAGAGCUUUUAUAUUUAUAUAUAUAAAAAAAUGUUUACAUGUU
Molecule: long non-coding RNA, 1213 nt
Filed under: Medicago truncatula (barrel medic)
Lineage: Eukaryota; Viridiplantae; Streptophyta; Magnoliopsida; Fabales; Fabaceae
Description: lncRNA gene48959
Source: RNAcentral